UACGUAGGGUGCAAGCGUUGUCCGGAAUUAUUGGGCGUAAAGAGCUCGUAGGCGGUUUGUCGCGUCUGCUGUGAAAACUGGAGGCUCAACCUCCAGCCUGCAGUGGGUACGGGCAAACUAGAGUGCGGUAGGGGAGAUUGGAAUUCCUGGUGUAGCGGUGGAAUGCGCAGAUAUCAGGAAGAACACCCGUGGCGAAGGCGGCUCUCUGGAACGCAACUGACGCUGAGACGCGAAAGCGUGGGGAGCAAACAGG
This 253-nucleotide ribosomal RNA is filed under the name uncultured bacterium. RNAcentral's name for it is "partial 16S ribosomal RNA". It matches the Rfam family "Bacterial small subunit ribosomal RNA", at positions 524 to 776 of the family's 1533-position model. The record is from RNAcentral.